RNAcentral lists this unclassified non-coding RNA (294 nucleotides) under uncultured Chroococcidiopsis sp. Its description in RNAcentral is "partial contains 16S ribosomal RNA, 16S-23S ribosomal RNA intergenic spacer, and 23S ribosomal RNA". It matches the Rfam family "Bacterial large subunit ribosomal RNA", at positions 914 to 1213 of the family's 2925-position model. Lineage: Bacteria; Bacillati; Cyanobacteriota; Cyanophyceae; Chroococcidiopsidales; Chroococcidiopsidaceae. The record is from RNAcentral.
UUCGGUGCGGGCUGCGAGAGCGGUACCAAAUCGAGACAAACUCUGAAUACCAGGGGAACACUCAGCCAGUAAGACGGUGGGGAUAAGCUUCAUCGUCAAGAGGGAAACAGCCCAGACCACCAGCUAAGGUCCCCAAAUUGUCACUAAGUGAUAAAGGAGGUGGGAGUGCAAAGACAACCAGGAGGUUUGCCUAGAAGCAGCCAUCCUUGAAAGAGUGCGUAAUAGCUCACUGGUCUAGCGCUCCUGCGCCGAAAAUGAAUGGGGCUAAGUGACAUACCGAAGGUCGACGCGGCC